CAGCCGCCACGGGAAUACGUAGGGUGCGAGCGUUAAUCGGAAUUACUGGGCGUAAAGCGUGCGCAGGCGGUUCGUUAAGACAGAUGUGAAAUCCCCGGGCUUAACCUGGGAACUGCAUUUGUGACUGACGGGCUAGAGUAUGGCAGAGGGGGGUAGAAUUCCACGUGUAGCAGUGAAAUGCGUAGAGAUGUGGAGGAAUACCGAUGGCGAAGGCAGCCCCCUGGGCCAAUACUGACGCUCAUGCACGAAAGCGUGGGGAGCAAACAGGAUUAGAUACCCCCGUAGUCCCUGUCUCUUAUAA
This 301-nucleotide ribosomal RNA is filed under the name uncultured bacterium. RNAcentral describes it as "partial 16S ribosomal RNA". It matches the Rfam family "Bacterial small subunit ribosomal RNA", at positions 509 to 809 of the family's 1533-position model. The record is from RNAcentral.